Molecule: long non-coding RNA, 370 nt
Organism: Trachemys scripta elegans
Lineage: Eukaryota; Metazoa; Chordata; Testudines; Emydidae
Exons: 3
Source: RefSeq, a predicted model, not a curated record
AGCGCGGCUGGCUGGGAUGAGGCAGCAGCAGCAGCGAGCGGCGGGCGCGUCCCUGCGACACUGAGGCGCCCGAGCCCGGCCCCGGAGCGACCCGCCCGGGCCGCCCCCGCCCUGCCGGCCGGCACCAUGAUGGAGGAGAUAGACCGGUUCCAGGUGCCCACCGUGCGCGCCGAGAUGCAGCCGCUGGAUCCAACAGCUGCAUCUAUCUCAGACCGAGACUGCGAUACAAGGGAGGGAGAGACCGUAGCCAUGAACUAUAAACCAUCCCCACUUCAAGUGAAACUAGAAGUGCCUGAGAACUACAGUCUCUCCUUUUAACCAGCAUCUACCUCUGCUAAGCUGUCUCCAGGCCACUUUGCAGUCCUGUCCU